UUGAAAGUCUUUUAAUCACUUAAGCUUUAUAAAAACUACGAAAGCCCUAAAAAUUACUAACCAAAAAUAAAUCUGAAAGAUUGUUUUUUAAUAUAGAAAAUGUUUAUGAAAAAAAUACAGAAUACAAAUAUGUUGGUAAAAAAACCUACAGGUAUCGUGGUUUUUCAACAUUGAAUGCUGCAAAAUAAUUUUAUAUUUUAGUGUAGGUAUUUAUAUGUAUAGGUACAUAAUACAUAGCAUACAUAAUACAUACUACGUACCUGUCUAUACCAUCGAGCUUAGAAUUAUAAGGAGACGCCGUUUUGAUAUUGACGUAUCUAUAGUUAUAUAAAUAUGAAACAAACUAUGCAACAUAGUUCUGUCUCACUCUUUCUAAGCAGAUAAGUGUAUUUGAAAACAGGGACAACAAUAUUUUUGUGAUUGCGUAAAAUGGUGACAUUUACUUUUGAAAUCCUUCUGCGUGCCAUAUCUGGCCAUAUAUGUCAUGGUAGUUGUGCUGUCAAAUAGGUGCUCUUCGUGACUUAUUUUUGCUAUUUUAUAGAAUAUCACUCGUGUUUACUUUUAAGACUUUACUAUUUCAAUAGUGAAAUAAUCAACGAAUAUGCCUAUGUGUUGUAUUGUGAAGUGUGGUGCUAGGAAGCACCAAAAUCAAGCUGGAUUGUCUUUACACAGUGCUUCCGCACAGACGAGCAAAUCGGAAUGCAAGUUGCAAUAUUUGCUUGAGAACUUAGUUACCGAGUAUAGAUUUCGAAUUGUAUAAAUAUUUUUUUCUUAGCACUAAAAUUGUUUUGUACAAUCGAUUAAUACAUAAUUAGCUCCAUUUGCAUUAUAUAACUUUCUCAUGAAUAGCUUGAAAACGAUUUUAAAUUAUUGUAUUUUUUUUAAGAGAGUAUCUCCUUAUGGCGUUUCUUGCGGAUUCUUCUUCAUAGGACCGAAUCUUUGGCACCCUGCAACUAGUCUGACGUGAAAGAACUUUCAUAGGGCUAUUUGAAAUAAUAAAUAAUUACUUUGCCUGUU
Helicoverpa armigera (cotton bollworm) is the source of this 1017-nucleotide long non-coding RNA. RefSeq lists it as uncharacterized. NCBI's taxonomy places the organism in Eukaryota, Metazoa, Arthropoda, Insecta, Lepidoptera, Noctuidae. The record is from RefSeq and is a predicted model, not a curated record. The transcript is spliced from 2 exons.